RNAcentral lists this ribosomal RNA (264 nucleotides) under uncultured bacterium. RNAcentral describes it as "partial 16S ribosomal RNA". It matches the Rfam family "Bacterial small subunit ribosomal RNA", at positions 92 to 354 of the family's 1533-position model. The record is from RNAcentral.
CGACCGGCGUACGGGUGAGUAACGCGUAUCCAACCUGCCCUUUACUAUGGGACAGCCCGUCGAAAGGCGGAUUAAUACCGUAUGUUGUCAUGUUGAUGCAUAUUUUCAUGACCAAAGGCUUCGGCCGGUAAAGGAUGGGGAUGCGUCUGAUUAGCUUGCCGGCGGGGUAACGGCCCACCGGGGCGACGAUCAGUAGGGGUUCUGAGAGGAAGGUCCCCCACAUUGGAACUGAGACACGGUCCAAACUCCUACGGAAGGCAGCAG